This 248-nucleotide long non-coding RNA is filed under the name Mytilus galloprovincialis (Mediterranean mussel). Lineage: Eukaryota; Metazoa; Mollusca; Bivalvia; Mytilida; Mytilidae. The record is from RNAcentral.
UUUAUAGCUUCCUGUUUGGUCUGUAUCAAAGCCCUGUGUAAAUGGCCGUACUCGACCUGUGUUUGUUAUUAUCAGGUUGAGAACAACCCUCCCUCAGACAAGGGGUCAUUUUACUGAUGUAGAAAAGAAAAUAGAAAUACCAAGGAUUUGUAUAGUUCUUCUAUACAAAACCUUUGAACACUUAGAAUUUUGUACUCAAAAAGAGGAGCGUUGCAUCAUAUUUUAAACAAAUUUUUCUUAAAGAGGGG